GGCUGGUGAGGCGCUGGAACAUGGUGGGAGAGUGAAACGGUCUCAGGGGGGCGCCCAGCGGCAGUGCAGAUACCUGGGAGGUGCAGAGAGGAGUCACAGCGCCCACCCGACUCCCGGCUAGGGAUAUCACCCCCAGCCCUCAGAGCAUAGUGAGAGUACGCUCUAAGGGAUGUGUGGGGAAGCUCUGCGGUGUGUGCGUGUCCUGGUAAAGAAACUGCGGCUCAGAGAGGUAAUGUAACUUGUGCAAAGUCUCACAGCUAAUAAGACACAGAAGUUGGAUUUAAACCCAUACAGUCAGAUUCCUGAGUCAGCACCCCCAAUCACUAUACUCCAUUGCCUUUGCUGGGUAUCUCUCUGGAUUAGACAGUUUUAACUUGGUGACCUGGGUAUUUUUCUGGGAAGAAGUUUUCAUCAUGAUUUCCUAACAUUACUCCUUGACCCCCCAGAUUAGGAACCACUACUUGAGCCUGUGUGGCUUGUAAAGUACUGGCUAGCAGAAAUCCCACAGAGCCGCUACCAUGUGAUUGCACAGCUCUCAUCUGUGUCUGUCAGAUGAGGUUCUAAGAUCCUAUUCCCAUGGGCCCUCCCCCCUCUCACCCCCUAUACCUAAGCUCCUGCUCAAGGGCAGCAUUCCUGGCUAGGAGGAAGAUCAGGUUGCCUGGCCUCAGAGAGACAGCAGGUCAGUGGGAGGUAAUGAUGAAGGGAGGGCCUAUCAAACCCCAGGAGCCCUUAAGGAUGAACAAUGAGGGUAAGACCAGGACCCAACCCCUCAAUCAGCCCUUCCCUGGAUGAAAAUAAGAAAGGAGAUCCCCUGCUCCAGGAAUAGAGAUGUCAAGGAGGUGGCUAUAGACCUGCCCUUCUCCCCACUUCAGCCUGCCUUAGGACUAGGCCUGGCUAGGAGUCCCCUGGAUGUCCCAAAGCUUGAGCCUCCUCACCUAUCCCCUGAAGAUGGUCAACCAUUUUGCUACUGAGACACUUGUCACCUUCCUCUAGGGAUGUUUCCACAUUUCCUGUAGAACUCCCUGAGGGCAUGUCUACUUUUCUAUUCCCUGGAGGCAGUCUACACUUACUGCUAACCCACCUGAGUUAUUUCUAUGCUUGUUGCUAUCCCUCCCAUUUCUGGGAUAUGUUUUCAUAUUUGCCACAGAAUCAUCCAACCUCCAUAAACAGAGUAUUUCCACAUUUGCAAACCCACAGUGGGCUCCAGACAGAAGUAUUCCCUGGGUGCUGGCUUCUCUGGUGGGAAAUCUACAGAGAUUAUGAUAAAAGGUUGGGCACCCCCAACUAGUGUCUGCCUGAUACAAGCCACAUAUCCCAACCUGUCUGUCGGCCAUAGGGAGUCAGUGAUUCAGUUACCAAAAAUCCUGAAAGUUUGGCCCCUCCUGAAGGAAGAGAAGGUUGGAGCCUUGGUGAGGGCCAUCAUAUUCACCUGGCCCAUUUUACAACCUGAGAAUCAGAGGAAAUCAGUCUAUCCAAAGACACACACUAGAUGGUGGCCAGGCAGGUCUAGUCCCAGGACACUAAACAUCCAGCCCAGAGUAUACAUAGGAAGGCCUCAGCAAACAAUCACCCAAAAAUAUAAUGAGGCAGGGGAGAUAGGGAGGUCAGAGAGGAGUCAGAACUUUUCAAGUUACUGCUCACCUCAAAACCCCUCUGCCCAGCUAUAAAAGGGUUUAGAGUUCCUAACACCAAGAUUCAUCAUGCAUUUACCAGAGCACCCACUGUGUACCAGAACCCAUUGGGGGUCUCCUCAAAUUAUAGACAGAUUAAGGUAAAAGAGGUUCAGUGGGAGGAAGCUCCCUGCCUGAAGUCACACAGCAAAUAAGUGACAGAGCCAGGAGUGACAGCAGCACCAGCCAGCCAGUGCCCACCCCCUCUCAUGACCACUGGGGGAGCCUCCCAGAUUUGCUUUCCCAGCUUUGCCAGCUUCCUGGUUCUCACAUUCCCAGUUCUGCUCCAGGGAGAACCAUUCCCUUUAAUAACUACAGCAGCUGUGCCCAGAAUAGCUCUUGAGCCCCAAGCCACUUCUACCCCACCCAUCCUUUAGCAAAGCCCAGGCUGGGAUGGGACUCUUGGCCCAGUCUCUGGGCCCAUCCACUUGGAAAGCCAGAACUCUCCUUCUCCUACUCCCUUCUCCUGGCCCUCUCUGUAAGCAGAGAAGGGGGCAGCACAAGCCUAGUAAUCACCAGCACUAGGCCAGGUCAUGUCCUUCUCAGCUGACAAUGCUAGGGGUUGGGGAGGUAAUAAAGGGCCAAGCAGGGAACUCUCACCCUCCAUCCUACCCCAACAUCAGCCCCAGAGACACCCUGAGGCAGCCAAUGACUCACCUUUCUGUGGUCAGAAAUUUUGAUGCAGCAAUUUUAUUGGGCUCUGGGUCUCCAAGGUUCAGAGUGAGGGUCAGGGCCACAAAAGGGGACCAGGUCUCCAGAGGCCUCCUGGAAAAAGAUCCAGGAAUGAGGGGACCUAAGAGCUCCAUAAAAUUUGGAUGGCAAUGAGCCCAAGGUGGAGGAGUCCCCAGUGUUAGGAGGAUGUGUAACUUGUUACUUGUAUUGAGUUCCUACUAGGCAUGUGCCAUGGCUAAUGCAUCUAUCAUUCACUCAGUAGGUAUGACUCUAAUUAGCUUCAUGACCUGGAGUAAACAAUUUCCCCCCUCUGUGCUUCAGUUUCCUCUUCGGUGAAAUGGAGUCCAAGACCCCUUGUUUGGGGGUUGGGAGUGACAUCCUCUAAAGCGCUGCACACAACAGCGAUUAGGAAGAUCAGGCUCCGGCUUGGUAGUCCCGGGGGUGCAGAGCUUGGAGCUGGAGAGAGGGUAUUCCGCCAUCUGGCGCUGCCCCCCAACGACCUAGAAGUGGAGCUCUGGGCUGCCUCUGAACUCCAACCUACAGCCAGCAGCGCCGCCCGGACCUAAGUAGGGGAUCAGAGGCCUGACUACAGCACCUGGGUUAGCCCAGGAAACUGCCGAGGCCCUUCCGGGCCUGCUGCCUUUCAGCGUUCCUCACCCGUGAGCCAAGCCCCGACCCAGCGCUUACCGGGUCACCGGAGGACAGGCGACCCGAGCCGGGGGGGCGGUGCCGGCCUUGGUGACGUCUCAAUGUCAUAUGCAAAUAGAGAGACGUCACGGUCUACCAGCGUGCGGCAGCCAAUCGGGAGAUGGAAAUGCAGCCCGGCCACCGCCGGCGGAGACAAAGACCCGGGAGCCGGGAGCUCGGGGCGUGUCCAGAGACGCGGGACCCCCUGGGCCGAAGCCGGUCUGGACUCACCUUGGGGAGGGGGAGGUACGGCGGGUGGGGUGGCUCUGAGGUAGUUGCGCGGCGGAGCGUCCGGGCGUCGGCGCUGAUCACAGGCCGGGCUGCAUCGCGGGGCUGGACUGGGAGGCGGCCGGGCUCCGGCUUGGAAGCUCGCGGCGGCUGCGCUCGCCUGCGGGGCUUUGAGACUGUGCAGCCGCUGCUGGGCUCACCGCACAAAUUGGAACGUUCAAACAGCUGAUUGUGACGUCACAAAGGAGCCCGCCCGCCUAGCGUCACCGGCCGGCGGAGCGGUGGCCAAUCGCAAGCUUCGGAUCCCCCCUCCCCACCCCCUCCGCGAUCCGCUGGAUAGUGGCUCCUUCCAGACUCCGAGCCUCGGGGGCCUCCCAGAGAGGCCACUGCUGAGUUCUUUGACCCCUAGCUCCAAGGGAAACCUACAGACCUCUUAAUGAGGACGGUCCCCACUCCCUACGAGAUCCCCAUCUUCUGCAUUUCCUGGAUAUGCCCUAGCGCCCUCACCUAGCCCACUGUCCCCCAUAUCCUUUCACAGGGAUCCUCUCUCCAAAUCCCCUAAUCCGUACUCUUUUCUCAACUCCACGUCCGUGCACGUCCAUUCUUCCCAUCAACCUUCCCUCUUCUCUCACCUCACCCCUUCACAUUCUCUGCUUUCCCCGCUCUAUUUUUCCUGAGCCUGGCAGGCUUGGGAGGUACGGGACAUCCCUUUCCCUGGUUCCAGGGGAGCACCCAGGAAUGUAAAGGAAUUGGCUCGGUUGACGGGAAGUUUUUCAGAAUGGGACUUGAAGAGGAAUUGCCCUGGACUGAAUAGCCCAUCUGGAGAUGGCUCUGUACUGGAACAUUUAUGCUUUAUUUAAUCCACAUUGCUACCAGGGCUGACAGGACAAGGAUUAUUAGGUCUGAUUUACACACAGCGGAACUUACAGGCUCACAAAUCUCACUGUUAGUAUGUGGAUUAAUUUUCAAUUAUGCAUUCAACAAAGAUUUAUUGAGUACCUAGUAUUGCCACUGCCAGACCACUAACUGACAUUUACUAAACACUGAGUGCCAGGCACCAAUUGUACUCUAUAACACUUUAUAUGUGUUUUGAUUUUCACAACAACCCCAAAAGGUGAGUAUUCUCCCCAUUUUCCAUUUGAGGACGCAGACUCAGCCUGACUUCCUACAGGUUGCGAAGCUAUGGUAAAUAGCAGAACCAGGAUCUGAAACCAUAGUUCCUGGCCCCAACCCUCUUCACUCUCUACAUGCAUCAGAUUGUCCAAACCCCAUAGUGCUUCAGCCUCCCCAGGGAAACCUAGGCCUAGUCCUGACUGCCUCAAACUUGCUGUGUGGCCUCAAGGAAGUCAUGUUACCUCUGUGGCCCUCAAUUUUUUUUUUCUGUCAAAUUUAACAUGUCCAAGCAUCUAGAGAUUCUUUCAAAUUCUCUACCCUCAGGAUUCUACCAAGCCCAUGUUCUAGACCCUGUCUCUCCCAAUGGCCUGGGAAAUACCUAAGGUGAGACCACAAAUACACAUCCUCUGAAUCUCCAGGGCUGGAGGUUCUGGGUCCUCUCUCAGUAGAGCAGGACUGGUGGGGGUGGGUCUGAGAGCUGCCCAUCUGGCCCAACAGGAGGCAGGGAGUGAGCUAGGCCAGAGCUUCAUGCUCUGCUGAUAAAAUCCUGCCCCAGCCUAGUCUGAAACUCCAGAGGGACUCCUCAGCCCUAGCAACUAGGAGGAGCCAGGAAAUAAAACCCAGACGCUUCUGGGGGGAGGAGCAGCAGUGUUUUGGCCCUUGGUGUGGUGUCCCCAAAGUGUCAUUCUGUGCAACCCUGAACCUCUGUUCUUUGCAUCUACUUCUUGCUAACUUCAUAUCCUCUCUUGACCUCCUUGCUGACUUAAAUGAAAUAAUCCCUAAUACUCCUCUCUCAUCACACCAUUUGCCUCUUCUAAAAACUUCUGUGGCUCCCAACGUAUCACACCCCUUAACACAGCAUUUGUUAAUUUGUUCAGCCUUCCAUGAACCAGUCCUAGCUCUCUCCGGCUUCAUCCCCACUUCUCCUGUAUGCAGCUUGUGCUAAUGUCAAAUUCCUGUCUCCUUAACACUCUCCCACAGUUGUGGUAUUGCUCAAGCUGUUUCCCUCUUGAGGGAAUGCCCUCUUCAGGCCUUUGUGAAUGCAUAUAUUUUCUGUCUUCAGGACUCUACUCACACCUUCUUCCUCCAGGUAGCCUUCUCCACCCUACUUUGAUGGACAGUCAUUUAUUCAAUAAACAAGAGGUAGUGAUGACUAAAUGUGUGUGUGUGUGUGUGUGUGUGUGUGUGUGUUCCUAAAUGGAUGGUUGGCAUCCCAAGGGCGUAAUCUCUGUCCAUAUACUACCCCCACCCAGCCUAUGCUGGGACUGGCAGAGUAGACUCCAAUCAAAAGCUCAGCAUUUACAGCUCAAGAAGGGUGGCUGGUAUAGGAAUCUUCACCUGGAUCCUGGACCCUGGUGUAGGGAGCAUUCUGUUGGGCACAGGAUUUUCAUUUCUCAAGCCCAGGGAAGGGGCCUCUGGCAUACACUCUGAUGAGCUAGAUUCUGCUCCCAGCUUUGGCUGAACCCCAUGUACAGGCUGCUAGGGCAGAUCCCAGUCUUCCAUUUCUCUGUAGAAUCAGAGGUACCCAUGGAAGUAGCGGUAUCCUCUCCUGAAACCCCUAGGACCCAUCCCUCUGCACUGUAGAUUUAUUAUCAGGGUUGGAGGACACCUCAGAUCUUAAUUCAUCCAAACUCCUUAUCUUACAGGUGGAGAAACUGAGGCACACAGGCACAGAGAGGUCAAGUUACCUGCUUAGAAUUGUAGACCAGCAGAGCUAUCUAUUGAACCUGGUGGCAAAGGAGUGGGGGAGCAUUCCCAUGUUGGCCUUGGAGGAGCAAACUGCCAUGUUUUGGAGAGGGCCACAUGGCAAGGACCCAAGAGGGGCCUCUAGAAGCUGAGAGCAGCCCCCAGAUAACAGAUAGCAAUAAAAUAAGGAUCUUAAUAAUAUGGCUGCAAGGAAAUGAAUUCUGCCAACAACCUGAGGGAGCCUGGAAGAAAAAGUUUCCCUAUUUGAGUCUU
Prionailurus viverrinus (fishing cat) is the source of this 6329-nucleotide long non-coding RNA. RefSeq lists it as uncharacterized. The record is from RefSeq and is a predicted model, not a curated record. NCBI's taxonomy places the organism in Eukaryota, Metazoa, Chordata, Mammalia, Carnivora, Felidae. The transcript is spliced from 3 exons.